This 1194-nucleotide long non-coding RNA is filed under the name Crocodylus porosus (Australian saltwater crocodile). RNAcentral's name for it is "lncRNA (ENSCPRG00005012203.1)". The record is from RNAcentral. Lineage: Eukaryota; Metazoa; Chordata; Crocodylia; Crocodylidae.
UAGGUGCAGUAGAAUUACAAACCACUGAAAGAACAAAAUUAGCCCUUUAAAUAUCCUUCGCCAAGUUUAUGAAAGUAUUGUUAACUUAAUCCAAAAGUAGUCACAUGCUGAACUUUUCCCUUGCGAACAUCUUACUUCACUGGUGCUAAUAAAAUUCUUGAAUGGUUUUAUUCUUUUCCAAAAGUCACGCCAUUACGAAGAUGUCAGUGCCCAGAGGAAGAGCGUAAAGUUAUAUUUAUAAAGCAGAGGUACUUGGGUAGAAAUCCUUACAUUCAUCUGAGAUCAGACUAAGUAAAAUUGCUUUCAACGACUGUUUCAAAUAAUUUUGGUAUUUUAGUCUAAUUAGGCAUUUCUUUUGCUUAUAUUUCCUUUGAUUAGUGACUUCAUAGGAUUCAUUAUCCAACAACUACAUCAAAUAUUGACUGUUUCUUGGCAGUACAGAAGUGGAGCAGCCCAAAGGUACAGAGGUUGUGAGAGAUGCGGUAAGAAAACUGAAGGAGCUAACUUCUUCCAAGGUCAGGAGACCAAGACAUCUGCAGUCUUGACAAAAGAUGGCCAAAGAAGGAAUGGGGGUUCAAAAUGACUGGAGGUAACUAUUCUUUUUUGCCCUGCCCGUAAGAAGAGGGACUUCAGGGUGGCCAGGCUCUUGCAGCAAGGAAGUCUCUUGGAGGAAACUCUGAAGAUCUUGAGUACUUUGAUCUCUGAGCUGUGGUCUUCUCCCUUCUUCAGCCUCCAAAGGGAGACCUGUAUGACGUAAUCAUGAUGACCUGGAAUCAGAACUGCUCUCUGCCCCUCCUUCAUCUACUUGGAAGUCUCACUUUUUUAGAUCCCUUUCUCCCUUGAGAAAAGAUUAGAGUAGAGAGUAUCAGAGAUGCCAGUCAUUGGGAAGCACAGCUUCAGCAAGCUUACUCCUUCACUGUCUCAGCCCACAUUAACCAGAAGGAGCUGUCUACAUCAGUCAUUAAUGGACCACACAGAAGAUAGGUAGGCACCAUUUCAUUUUGUGCUUCAAAAGCUGUAGUAUUGUCCUAUCUGGUAGAUGUUCAGAAGGCACCAUUAUCUGCUAUACAAUAAUCAUAAGAAAAGAGUAGGACACAGAUGCCUCUAGUAAAAACGGGUUUCCAGUCAAAACUGGAAUGUACUGCUUGGGGCAAGUUAGUUACCAUCUAAAAACAUCUGAAAACAAAUGGGGAG